CCUACGGGAGGCAGCAGUGGGGGAUAUUGCACAAUGGGGGAAACCCUGAUGCAGCGACGCCGCGUGUGGGAAGACGGUCCUCUGGAUUGUAAACCACUGUCCCCAGGGACGAAGAUGACGGUACCUGGGGAGGAAGCUCCGGCUAACUACGUGCCAGCAGCCGCGGUUAUACGUAGGGAGCGAGCGUUGUCCGGAAUUACUGGGUGUAAGGGGAGCGUAGGCGGAACUGCAAGUUGGGUGUCAAACCUACCGGCUCAACCGGGAGCCGCACUCCAAACUGCAGUUCUUGAGUGCAGUAGAGGCAGGCGGAAUUCCUAGUGUAGCGGUGAAAUGCGUAGAUAUUAGGAGGAACACCAGUGGCGAAGGCGGCCUGCUGGGCUUUUACUGACGCUGAGGCUCGAAAGUGUGGGGAGCAAACAGGAUUAGAUACCCCUGUAGUC
Molecule: ribosomal RNA, 440 nt
Filed under: uncultured bacterium
Lineage: Bacteria
Description: partial 16S ribosomal RNA
Rfam family: Bacterial small subunit ribosomal RNA
Source: RNAcentral